Long non-coding RNA from Astatotilapia calliptera (eastern happy), 2875 nucleotides. Lineage: Eukaryota; Metazoa; Chordata; Actinopteri; Cichliformes; Cichlidae. The record is from Ensembl.
AGUUUAGGUCCAGACAUGGCUAGUGACGUCAGACUGAACAACCGGAUUGAACGAGGAGGACCCAGAAUCCAGCCCUGUGUGAAGCUGAAGAGGCUGAAAAUUACAGGUUAUCUGUGGAAACCUGCAUCAAGAAGGUGGUGACACUUGUCAUUAAAAAUGCCAGUUCACCUUCCUCUACUGAAAAAGUUGAUGCCAUCACCCAACGGCUGUUCAUAAAACUCUGGCCUAGACUUAAAAAGAUCAAAGUUGAUAAUGUGAUAUGGUUUAUAGCUCCUUAAUACAGAAAUGGAAAGAGCCAGAUGUCAUACAUAUUCAUGGAAUUAGACCAUGAAUAUGCAGAUGAUGUAAUUGUAAAGGUUUUCAAGGAGCAUGCCAUCACUGUAUUGGAAAGUGAACAUUUCAUCACAAGCUUCUUUCUUCAUGCUGUAUGGAUCGCAGGCAGAAAAUACUUGGUUACUGUUGUGUAAGUCCCUAAAAGUAGAUUUUGUUUAUCUGGACGCAGGAUUUUCAGUUUCAAUUUAUUUAAGUAAUUAUAAUAAAGGUCAAUCAAAUGGACCAAUAUGGCAAGGCCAUGAUGAUCCACUUGGUAAAAUAAAUCCGUUUGGCAUCUUUCUUGGCCUUAAGACAACAAUUCUGAUGGCUAAAGACCCAAACGGGACACAAGAAAAAAACAAAACACAUGUUGUCUGACAACAGUAUCAAAGAUCUGCAUAUACAUAAAAAAAACCUGAAAGAUCUGGACCGGGCCAUUUACAAAGAGCUACGUCAGAAAACAUUCUGUAAAGAAAAACAUUUACUGAUGUUACUGAACGACGAGGACCCAGUGUUGAGAAAACUGACGGUCGAUAUCAUUAAAAAUCACCUGAUCGACACUAUGCAGAAUCCAGCCCUGUGUGAUGCUGAAGAGGCUGAAAAUUACAGGUUAUCUGUGGAAGCCUGUAUCAAGAAGGUGGUGACACGUGUCAAUAAAAAUGCCAGUUCACCUUCCUCUACUGAAAAAGUUGAUGCCAUCACCCAACGGCUGUUCAUAAAACUCUGGCCUAGACUUAAAAAGAUCAAAGUUGAUAAUGUGAUGUUCAUCAGUGAUUGUCAGGGUCCCUGAGCAGUUAUGAAUUAUAUUAUUAUUAUUGUUAUUGUAUGUAUAUUUGGUGUUGCUGUCCUUCUCCCUGUUUGCGUGUGUGUGUGUGUGUGUGUGUGUGUGUGUGUAUAUAUGUAUAUGUGUUUCAGUGGGUGCCUUCAGGCCUGGUGGGUGUGGCCCUGCUGAUGGUCUGGCCACACCCGAAGCCACACACUUGCUGCUGGUCAGGCCUCGUCGGGGGUGCUACUUGGGAGAGUCUUGGAGCUCCCACCGACGCGGGAUCAUUUCGGUCGCAGGGGGUGCUGGAGCCUAUGGCAGCUAUCUCAGGGCGAGAGGCAGGGUACGCCCUGGACAGGUCGCUAGUCUGUCACAGGGCUAAACAUUCGUACUCACAUUCACUCAUACCUAUGGGCAAUUUAGAUUUUUCCAAAAACAAUGGGCAAUUAAGAUUUUUCACGUGCCUCCAAAGACGCAAAGGUGUCGCCAUCUGACAUGAUUCAGCAGCGCCUCUUCACAGCUCUGUGGUCACAAGUUGAGCAAAAGCCUCUCAAAAUCACACACAGGGGGAUUAAAAAACUUGAAAAGGUGAUUUUUAAAGCCAUCAAAGCGGCUGGACAUUAGCCCUGAUCUCGUGAUCAUUGCGCUAGCCGUAGGUCAGCCGUACCUAGAGGUGAUCAUUUCCAUAUUUGAAGAUCACCACUUCGGUAAAAACCUGCUGGCAAGGUUCUUCUCGUGGUGCGUUAGAGCCGAGGAUGACGAGGACAAAGAAACUAAAGCCAUGUCUGAAACACGUUUAGAAGAAUUUAAAAGUAAUAUAUUUCCAAUAGUGGAGGAAAAAAUCAUCAUCUGGCAUUAGUGUCAGCGAUUAUGAUGAUGAUGAAGAGGAACAUGUGAGCGCACUCAUUGAUGCUGUGCUCACACGUGUUGAAAAUAAUUCGCACUACAAACCUUCUAAAAAACUCCACAGGUAUCUGUUAAAACACGUGUUGUAAUUAUAAUAAAGGUCAAUCAAAUGGACCAAUAUGGCAAGGCCAUGAUGAUCCACUUGGUAAAAUAAAUCCGCUUGGCAUCUUUCUUGGCCUUAAGACAACAAUUCUUAUGGCUAAAGAUCCAAACGGGACACACAAAAAAACACAUGUUGUCUGACAACAGGAUCAAAGAUCUGCAUAUACAUGUAUAUAAACUGAAAGAUCUCGACCGGGCCAUUUACCAAGAGCUACGUCAGAAAACAUUCUGUUAAGAAAAAACAUUUACUGAUGUUACUGAACGACGAGGACCCAGUGUUGAGAAAACUGACGGUCGAUAUCAUUAAAAAUCACCUGAUCGACACUAUGCAGAAUCCAGCCCUGUGUGAAGCUGAAGAGGCUGAAAAUUACAGGUUAUCUGUGGAAGCCUGUAUCAAGAAGGUGGUGACACGUGUCAAUAAAAAUGCCAGUUCACCUUCCUCUACUGAAAAAGUUGAUGCCAUCACCCAACGGCUGUUCAUAAAACUCUGGCCUAGACUUAAAAAGAUCAAAGUUGAUAAUGUGAUGUUCAUCAGUGAUUGUCAGGGUCCCUGAGCAGUUAUGAAUUAUAUUAUUAUUAUUAUUAUUAUUAUUAUUGUAUGUAUAUUUGGUGUUGCUGUCCUUCUCCCUGCUUGCGUGUGUGUAUGUGUUUCAGUGGGCGCUUCAGGCCUGGUGGGUGUGGCCCUGCUGAUGGUCUGGCCACACCCGAAGCCACACACCUGCUGCUGGUCAGGCCUCGUCGGGGGUGCUACUUAGAAGAGUCUUGGAGCUCCCACCGACGCGGGAUCAUUGC